CAGUACCGCGGUAAUACGUAGGUGGCAAGCGUUGUCCGGAAUUAUUGGGCGUAAAGGGCUCGCAGGCGGUUUCUUAAGUCUGAUGUGAAAGCCCCCGGCUCAACCGGAGAGGGUCAUUGGAGACUGGGAAACUUGAGUGCAGAAGAGGAGAGUGGAAUUCCACGUGUAGCGGUGAAAUGCGUAGAGAUGUGGAGGAACACCAGUGGCGAAGGCGACUCUCUGGUCUGUAACUGACGCUGAGGAGCGAAAGCGUGGGGAGCGAACAGGAUUAGAUACCCCAGUAGUCCCUGUCUCUUAUACC
RNAcentral lists this ribosomal RNA (301 nucleotides) under uncultured bacterium. Its description in RNAcentral is "partial 16S ribosomal RNA". It matches the Rfam family "Bacterial small subunit ribosomal RNA", at positions 509 to 808 of the family's 1533-position model. The record is from RNAcentral.